This 459-nucleotide ribosomal RNA is filed under the name uncultured bacterium. RNAcentral describes it as "partial 16S ribosomal RNA". It matches the Rfam family "Bacterial small subunit ribosomal RNA", at positions 338 to 795 of the family's 1533-position model. The record is from RNAcentral.
CCUACGGGAGGCAGCAGUGAGGAAUAUUGGUCAAUGGACGAGAGUCUGAACCAGCCAAGUAGCGUGAAGGAUGACUGCCCUAUGGGUUGUAAACUUCUUUUAUAUGGGAAUAAAACGUUCCACGUGUGGGAUUUUGUAUGUACCAUAUGAAUAAGGAUCGGCUAACUCCGUGCCAGCAGCCGCGGUAAUACGGAGGAUCCGAGCGUUAUCCGGAUUUAUGGGGUUUAAAGGGUGCGUAGGCGGGAUGUUAAGUCCGCGGGAAAAGCCCGGGGCUCAACCCCGGCGAGCCGUUGAAACUGGGUGUCGUGAGAUGUCGAGAGGUAGGCGGAAUGCGCAGUGUAGCGGUGAAAUGCUUAGAUAUUACGCAGAACGCCGAUGGCGAAGGCAGCAUACCGGCGGCGAUCUGACGCUGAGGCACGAAAGCGUGGGUAUCGAACAGGAUUAGAUACCCCUGUAGUC